ACGAACGCUGGCGGCGUGCCUAAUACAUGCCCGUAGAACGCUGAAGGAGGAGCUUGCUUCUCUGGAUGAGUUGCGAACGGGUGAGUAACGCGUAGGUAACCUGCCUGGUAGCGGGGGAUAACUAUUGGAAACGAUAGCUAAUACCGCAUAAUAGCAGUUGUUGCAUGACAACUGUUUGAAAGGUGCAAUUGCACCACUACCAGAUGGACCUGCGUUGUAUUAGCUAGUUGGUGGGGUAACGGCUCACCAAGGCGACGAUACAUAGCCGACCUGAGAGGGUGAUCGGCCACACUGGGACUGCGACACGGCCCAGACUCCUACGGGAGGCAGCAGUAGGGAAUCUUCGGCAAUGGACGGAAGUCUGACCGAGCAACGCCGCGUGAGUGAAGAAGGUUUUCGGAUCGUAAAGCUCUGUUGUAAGAGAAGAACGAGUGUGAGAGUGGAAAGUUCACACUGUGACGGUAUCUUACCAGAAAGGGACGGCUAACUACGUG
Molecule: ribosomal RNA, 494 nt
Filed under: uncultured bacterium
Lineage: Bacteria
Description: partial 16S ribosomal RNA
Rfam family: Bacterial small subunit ribosomal RNA
Source: RNAcentral